This 279-nucleotide ribosomal RNA is filed under the name uncultured bacterium. RNAcentral describes it as "partial 16S ribosomal RNA". It matches the Rfam family "Bacterial small subunit ribosomal RNA", at positions 506 to 784 of the family's 1533-position model. The record is from RNAcentral.
UGCCAGCCGCCGCGGUAAGACGGAGGUGGCAAACGCUGUUCGGAAUCACUGGGCUUAAAGGGCGUGUAGGCGGCCGAUCAAGUCGGGUGUGAAAUCCCUCGGCUCAACCGAGGAACUGCAUUCGAUACUGGUCAGCUAGAGUGCGAGAGGGGUGAGUGGAACUCCAGGUGUAGCGGUGAAAUGCGUAGAUAUCUGGAGGAACGCCGGUGGCGAAAGCGACUCACUGGCUCGCAACUGACGCUGAGGCGCGAAAGCUAGGGGAGCGAACGGGAUUAGAUA